Panicum virgatum (switchgrass) is the source of this 982-nucleotide long non-coding RNA. RefSeq lists it as uncharacterized. The transcript has 3 exons. Lineage: Eukaryota; Viridiplantae; Streptophyta; Magnoliopsida; Poales; Poaceae. The record is from RefSeq and is a predicted model, not a curated record.
UCCGCUGUCUCUAUCGCCCCGUCUUCCCCCGUCUCCCAGAUCUGACCAUGGGCACAGCAGGUCGGCAACAACAACCACCGGAGCUUGGGAGGGCAAGGUUGAUCGAGUCCCCAUGAGUUGACCAGAGCACAUAGCGCCCCUGCCUUCUCCCUCGCUAGCUCAAGCCCCUGGCCUACAUGCUCAGCCGGCGGCAUAACGAGACGCGGCACCGGCACCGUGCGAGGACGACUGCGAGAUACGGCAUACGCCGGUGGUAUGCAGGUUGGGAAGUCCAAGAUCAUAUCCCUGCUCCUUGAUAAGCGAACAAGAACCUCUGUUUCUCUUGCCACACUAGCAAGAUCCAUCAUGGUCGUCGUCCACCACAUCUGACAUGUUCAACUGUUCAACCUUUUACUCGCCCCUUGGUUUGUCUUCAGCAUUAUCUCCUGCUGUGAAACAUGUGACGGCACACUAAAGAGCCACAAGCAUAUAUGGCUUCAGAGAUGUGGAUGACGUGUUCGAGGUAAUGCUCAACAGGUUGUAGUAAAGAUAGGCAUGAUGUAGUAAAGCUGCUUCCCUGCUCUGACUUCAUGCUCUUUUGCUCCAACCAUUAAUUUAAGACGUUAAUUCAGCAGUGCCACAUAACAAGUCGAUGAAUUCUCUUCAUCGCGUUUACAGUAGUGGUGGGUGCCUGCCCCCACUAUCUUGGAGUAGACCAAUCCUAGCACAGGCUGCACACAAGACAAGUCCACACCAAUCACUUUGUGAGAGGUGGCCAAAUCUAACUACCCCUGUUUCUCAUGUAAGUCAUAUAUCCAUGGUUGUUGUCUUAAAACUCUCCUUCAUUUCAGGCCGAUUAGUUGCCUUAGGCCCUGAAUACACGGAUAAAUUAAGCAGGUUCUUCAGGUGAGCUCAGAGUUCCAUAGAGCAGAAUACAUUUUUUCCUAAACUAUUUCAAGACCAAAAAUACAAUUUAUCUCUUUACAGGAUACUAUUGUACUAC